CAGUCGCCACGGUAAUACGAAGGGUGCAAGCGUUAAUCGGAAUUACUGGGCGUAAAGCGUGCGUAGGCGGUGAGUUAAGUCUGCUGUGAAAUCCCCGGGCUCAACCUGGGAAUGGCAGUGGAUACUGGCUCGCUAGAGUGUGUCAGAGGAUGGUGGAAUUCCCGGUGUAGCGGUGAAAUGCGUAGAGAUCGGGAGGAACAUCAGUGGCGAAGGCGGCCAUCUGGGACAACACUGACGCUGAGGCACGAAAGCGUGGGAAGCAAACAGGAUUAGAUACCCCGGUAGUCCCUGUCUCUUAUAA
RNAcentral lists this ribosomal RNA (301 nucleotides) under uncultured bacterium. RNAcentral describes it as "partial 16S ribosomal RNA". It matches the Rfam family "Bacterial small subunit ribosomal RNA", at positions 509 to 809 of the family's 1533-position model. The record is from RNAcentral.